AGACCAAAACACCCACACAUGGUGGAUAAAUC
This 32-nucleotide non-coding RNA is filed under the name Mus musculus (house mouse). The record is from RNAcentral. Lineage: Eukaryota; Metazoa; Chordata; Mammalia; Rodentia; Muridae.